GGCCACCAGGGGCUUUGUCUCUGGCAAGGGUGGGAGCUGCCCUGGUCGCGGUGACGCCUCCUACGGCCUAGAGAUCGACGCCGCAGUGAAAGAGAAACUUAAGAGCCAUGAAGAGCCCUCUGCAAUCAGAAGGGACACAGGUUCAGUCCCUGGUCAGGGAAGAUUCCACAUGCAUCAGGGCAACGGAGUCCAUGCACCACGACUACUGAAGCCCUCACACCACGACUAGAGAUUCCCUGCGCUGCAAUAGAAGAUUCUGCACAACUCAACAAAGGUCCUCAAGCCCUGGGCUGGGCUUCAACAACCCUACUUCCACGCUCCAACUUGAGUUCUAAGUGAGACCCUGGAGUUUUGUCCACUCGCUGAUUUGAUGUCAAUACAGUUUG
This is a long non-coding RNA of Cervus elaphus (red deer), 386 nucleotides long. RefSeq lists it as uncharacterized. The record is from RefSeq and is a predicted model, not a curated record. NCBI's taxonomy places the organism in Eukaryota, Metazoa, Chordata, Mammalia, Artiodactyla, Cervidae. The transcript has 3 exons.